Molecule: ribosomal RNA, 460 nt
Filed under: uncultured bacterium
Lineage: Bacteria
Description: partial 16S ribosomal RNA
Rfam family: Bacterial small subunit ribosomal RNA
Source: RNAcentral
CCUACGGGGGACAGCAGUGAGGAAUAUUGGUCAAUGGCCGGAAGGCUGAACCAGCCAUGCCGCGUGAAGGUCAGUGCCCUUUGGGCGUUAAACUUCUUUUGUGCGGGAGCAAUACUGGUCCCGUGUGGCCAGACGAGAGUACCGUACGAAUAGGCCUCGGCUCACUCCGUGCCAGAAGCCGCGGGAAUACGGGGGGUGCUAGCGUUAUCCGGAUUUAUGGGGUUUAAAGGGUGCGUCGGCGGGGAGGUAAGUCAGCGUGGAAAUGCCCCGGCUCAACGGGGUGAAGUGCCAUUGAUACUGCAUUGCUGGAAUGCGGAUGCCGUGGGAGGAAUGUGUGGUGUAGCGGUGAAAAGCAUAGAUAUCACACAGAACACCGAUUGCGAAGGCAUCUCACGAAUCCGCGAUUGACGCUGAUGCACGAAAGCGUGGGUAUCAAACAGGAUUAGAUACCCGAGUAGUC